RNAcentral lists this ribosomal RNA (497 nucleotides) under uncultured bacterium. RNAcentral describes it as "partial 16S ribosomal RNA". It matches the Rfam family "Bacterial small subunit ribosomal RNA", at positions 28 to 507 of the family's 1533-position model. The record is from RNAcentral.
GACGAACGCUGGCGGCGUGCCUAAUACAUGCAAGUAGAACGCUGAAGAGAGGAGCUUGCUCUUCUUGGAUGAGUUGCGAACGGGUGAGUAACGCGUAGGUAACCUGCCUUGUAGCGGGGGAUAACUAUUGGAAACGAUAGCUAAUACCGCAUAACAAUGGAUGACACAUGUCAUUUAUUUGAAAGGGGCAAUUGCUCCACUACAAGAUGGACCUGCGUUGUAUUAGCUAGUAGGUGAGGUAAUGGCUCACCUAGGCGACGAUACAUAGCCGACCUGAGAGGGUGAUCGGCCACACUGGGACUGAGACACGGCCCAGACUCCUACGGGAGGCAGCAGUAGGGAAUCUUCGGCAAUGGGGGCAACCCUGACCGAGCAACGCCGCGGGAGUGAAGAAGGUUUUCGGAUCGUAAAGCUCCGUUGUAAGUCAAGAACGGGUGUGGGAGUGGAAAGUUCACACUGUGACGGUAGCUUACCAGAAAGGGACGGCUAACUACGUG